UCGCCGUGGGGUUGACAAACCGGCGGGUAGCUUCCCCUCUGCUCCGUAGGUUCCGGUUCCCUCACCGGGAGGGCUGGGCCGCCCGCCCCCGCCGGGACCCCGCACCUCUACACCGACCUGAGGGACCCCCAACACCCCUCCCACUCACUGUGGGGUCUGUACACCGGCAGGCAGCCCCCGCCCUGCUCUCCCUGCCUCGCCCCCGCUGCAGGCCCCGUGCCCCCCACCGGGAGAAGAAGGAGGACCCGCCGGGGCCCUGCACCCCACUGUCGCCGUGAGAGGGGCCCCCCCACCCCCUGGAGUCGGGAUCCCGGCAGGCAGCCCCUCUCUGCUGCCCCCCGCCUCGCCCCUGCCGCAGACCCUGUUCCCCGAUUGUGCUGCGGCCCCGGGGGCACCGAGGCUUCUCCUGGUGGGGGGCUCGCUUGCUCCCUCCGGCUGGGCUGCAUCCCCCUUCCCUCCCUGCCCUGAGGGUUAGUCCCCAGUUGCCCUUGCUCCAGGGUGCUCAUUCCCUGGGAGCUGAUUCCCUCUCCCCACCCUGAUGUGGGGCCCAUCUCCCCUCACGCCCCCUUGGAGCUGGGUCCCUACUUGACCCUGCUCCAGGGUGCUCACCUCUCAGGAGCUGGAGGUGAUUUCCUCUCCCUGCCCAGGCUUGCAUCCCCUCACCCCCCCUGGGGGUGGGUCCCCGCUCUCUCCAGCUCUGGGGUGUUUACCCUUUGGGAGUUGGAGGCUGAUGCCCUCUCCCCACCUUGUUGUGGGGCUCAUCCCUCCUCACACCCCCCUGGGACUGGAUGCCCACUCUUCUGGCUCCAGGGUGCUCACCCCUCAGGAGAUGGGGGCUGAUGCCCUCUCCCUGUGCCAUUGCUGAGGCCUGGGCAGCCCUAGCAGGGGUACCCAGUGUAACUGGGCUGCUGCUGACAGCUUGGGACCAGUGGGACUGGCUGUCUCUUGCUUCCAGGGAGGAGUGAGCGCUUUUAAUCUCUCCACAGGGUCCCAGGGCCAGUGGAGCGCCAGGCCUGGCCUGCGGUGCGAUGGACUUGGCGUACGUCUGCGAGUGGGAGAAAAAGCCGAAGAGCAACCACUGUCCCUCUAUUCCUUUAGUGUGCGCGUGGUCCUGCCGCAACCUCAUCGCUUUCACCACAGACCUCAAAAAUGAGGAGGAAAAAGAUCUUACCCAUAUGGUCCAUAUCAUUGACACGGAACACCCGUGGGAUGUCUAUUCUGUUAAUUCGGGCCACACUGAAGUCAUCACUUGCUUGGAGUGGGAUCAGUCAGGCUCCAGGCUGCUCUCGGCGGACGCGGACGGCCACAUCAAGUGCUGGAGCAUGACCGAUCACUUGGCCAACAGCUGGGAGAGCACAGUAGGCAGCGCGGUGGAAGGGGACCCUAUUGUGGCCCUGUCUUGGCUGCACAACGGCGUGAAGCUGGCUCUGCAUGUGGAAAAGUCUGGAGCAUCAAACUUCGGUGAGAAGUUCUCGAGGGUCAAGUUCUCUCCGUCGCUGACGCUGUUUGGUGGGAAGCCCAUGGAGGGCUGGAUCGCUGUCACUAUCAGUGGGCUGGUGACCGUCUCGCUGCUCAAGCCCAAUGGGCAAGUGCUAACAUCCACAGAGAGCCUGUGCCGCCUGCGCUGUCGCGUUGCCUUGGCCGACGUUGCCUUCACCGGUGGGGGGAACAUCGUGGUGGCCACUUCAGAUGGCAGCAGCACCUCUCCUGUCCAGUUCUACAAAGUCUGUGUCAGCGUGGUGAAUGAGAAAUGCAAAAUAGACACUGAAAUCCUGCCUUCCCUCUUCAUGCGCUGCACCACGGACCCUGCCCGCAAAGACAAAUACCCAGCCAUCACUCACCUCAAAUUCCUGGCUCGGGACAUGUCAGAGCAGGUGUUGCUUUGUGCUUCCAACCAAAACAGCAGCAUCGUGGAGUGCUGGUCUCUGCGGAAAGAGGGCUUGCCAGUCAAUAAUAUCUUCCAGCAAAUCUCCCCCGUGGUUGGAGACAAGCAGCCCAUGAUACUGAAAUGGCGGAUUCUUUCGGCCACAAAUGACUUGGAUCGCGUUUCAGCCGUGGCUUUGCCAAAACUGCCCAUCUCCCUCACCAACACUGAUCUGAAGGUGGCAAAUGACACUAAGUUCUUCCCUGGAUUGGGUCUGGCUUUGGCUUUCCACGAUGGCAGUGUCCACAUUGUCCAUCGCCUGUCCUUGCAAAUGAUGGCCGUCUUCUAUGGCUCUUCUUCCCAGCGCCCGGUGGACGAGCAAACUAUCAAAAGGCAGCGAACUGCUGGGCCCCUGGUCCACUUCAAAGCCAUGCAGCUCUCCUGGACCUCUCUGGCCUUGGCUGGCAUUGACAGUCACGGGAAGCUGAGCAUGCUUCGCAUCUCCCCGUCUAUGGGCCAUGUGCUGGACAUGAACAUGUCCCUCCGUCACUUGCUUUUCCUGUUGGAAUACUGCAUGGUCACUGGCUACGACUGGUGGGACAUCUUGCUCCACGUCCAACCCAACAUGGUCCAGAACUUGGUGGAGAAGCUGCAUGAGGAGUACAUGCGCCAGAAUGCGGCCCUGCAGCAGGUCCUCUCAACGCGCAUUGUUGCCAUGAAGGCCUCCCUUUGCAAGCUCUCCUCCAGCACGAUAGCCCGUGUGUGUGACUACCAUGCGAAGCUGUUCCUGAUCGCCAUAAGCUGCACCUUGAAAUCGCUGCUGCGCCCACACAUCCUCAACACCCCGGACAAGAGUCCUGGCGACCGGCUCACCGAGGUCUGCUCCAAGAUCACAGAUAUAGACAUUGAUAAGGUGAUGAUUAACCUGAAGACGGAAGAAUUUGUCCUGGAGAUGACAACGUUGCAGUCCCUGCAGCAGCUCAUCCAGUGGGUGGGAGAUUUUGUGCUCUAUCUGCUGGCCAGCCUUCCUAACCAGGGCUCUCCUGUGCGGCCGGGACACAGCUUUCUGCGAGACGGAGCAUCUCUGGGCAUGUUCAGGGAGCUGAUGGUGGUGAUCCGUAUUUGGGGACUGCUGAAGCCAAGCUGCCUCCCUGUCUACACGGCAACCUCUGACACCCAGGACAGCAUGUCCCUCCUCUUCAGGCUCCUAACUAAACUCUGGCUGUGCUGUCGUGAGGAAAAUCACAUCACGGAGCCAGAUGAUACCCUGAUCGACGAAUGUUGCCUCCUACCCAGCCAGUUGCUCAUUCCCAAUAUCGAUUGGUUGCCCAUCAACGAUGGCAUUAUCAGCAGGCUGCAGAACAAACAGCUUGUCCGGCUGCAGUUUGGGAAGGCUCCUGGCCUCGUGGGGCACUCUGUCUCUUCCCAAUAUGAUGCCUUUGUCAGGGCACCUGGACAGCCUAAAAUCGAUCACCUGAGGCGGCUUCACUUAGGAGCGUACCCGACAGAGGAGUGCAAGUCCUGUACCAGGUGUGGCUGUGUCACGAUGCUGAAAUCACCCAACAAGGUCACCGCGGUGAAGCAGUGGGAGCAGCGCUGGAUCAAGAACUGCUUGUGUGGGGGCCUGUGGAGAAGGAUGCCCCUCAGCUAUUCCUGAGCGUGCCUUCAGUGCGGCAGAGAGGGAACAGCGGGUACCAAGUGGAAAAGCUGCUCGGAGCUUCCUUCCCUGCAGGUCCUUCAGCUGUUAGAGUGGGCUUUUAACUGCACAAGGAGCCUCCCACCCUCCUGGUGGGCCGGGGUGUAGCCACCUUGCGGCACAGCACUGCUUCCGGACUUCCAGAAGGUGGAAGCUCAUCAGAGUCGUUGCUUCGGCUCUCCCUGGGCGUAAGGGUGUUGGAAGCCCAAGUGGGGAAGGACCUGCCUGUAGAGCCUGGCUGCAAGCUGCCACCAAGCAGAGGAGAUUUGAGUCAGCGAGAGCUGGUGGUGGCCCAGGACCCCAGCCGAGUCGCAACACCGGGAUUGUCCCAUCCUUGGCCACGCUCAGCGCUUCACCAUCCACCCACACGCCUGGGAUGCAACCGGAGCUACAAGGACCUUGGCAAAGCCAGAAGCGUUUGGAUGCAGCCCAAAGGGAAGUGGGGACGGUCCCAUGGGUGGCAAUGGAGGGACAGAGGGGACUGAGCAAGCCCAGCAUGACCUUGAGGGUUUCCUCCUGCCGUGGCCCAGUGGGAUCCCAAGGAGGAGAGGGAUUUGCUGGAGUGGAACCAUGCCGGGUGCGUGGUGGGGAGGAAGGUCCUAAUGGG
Molecule: RNA transcript, 4167 nt
Organism: Cuculus canorus (common cuckoo)
Lineage: Eukaryota; Metazoa; Chordata; Aves; Cuculiformes; Cuculidae
Gene: MED16
Gene name: mediator complex subunit 16
Exons: 16
Source: RefSeq, a predicted model, not a curated record